RNAcentral lists this ribosomal RNA (477 nucleotides) under uncultured bacterium. RNAcentral's name for it is "partial 16S ribosomal RNA". It matches the Rfam family "Bacterial small subunit ribosomal RNA", at positions 28 to 507 of the family's 1533-position model. The record is from RNAcentral.
GAUGAACGCUGGCGGCGUGCUUAACACAUGCAAGUCGAACGGGAAUUAUUUUAUUGCAACUUCGGUCGAUUUAAUUUAAUUCUAGUGGCGGACGGGUGAGUAACGCGUGGGUAACCUGCCUUAUACAGGGGGAUAACAGUCAGAAAUGGCUGCUAAUACCGCAUAAGCGCACAGAGCUGCAUGGCUCAGUGUGAAAAACUCCGGUGGUAUAAGAUGGACCCGCGUUGGAUUAGCUUGUUGGCAGGGUAACGGCCUACCAAGGCGACGAUCCAUAGCCGGCCUGGAGGGGGGAACGGCAAAAUUGGGACUGGAACACGUCCCGAACCCCUACGGAGGGCAGCAGGGGGGAUAAUGGCACAAUGGGGAAACCCUGAUGCAGCGACGCCGCGUGAAGGAAGAAGUAUCUCGGUAUGUAAACUUCUAUCAGCAGGGAAGAUAGUGACGGUACCUGACUAAGAAGCCCCGGCUAACUACGUG